RNAcentral lists this small RNA (646 nucleotides) under Pan troglodytes (chimpanzee). RNAcentral describes it as "processed transcript". The record is from RNAcentral. Lineage: Eukaryota; Metazoa; Chordata; Mammalia; Primates; Hominidae.
UGUGUGUGUAUGCAACUCGGGGAAGCUCCUCUAGCCUUCCCUCCGGGCUUUUCUUUCCUGAUGGAGGUCCAGAUCAGCACCAACCUGACGAAUCUGUGAGCAUUGAACUGUGACAGUGAGGCCACCACCGCAGCCUGGGGGCAACAUGCUUGAUUGCAUGCCAGGCAGGACUCAGGAGAAUUUACCAACUUUUUUUUCCUCUAAGAGAAAAAACUGGACAAUAACUAGUGCAGGUGUAAUCUUUUGCGUUGUGAUGAAAUCCUAUUAUGGGGAGCGUUACCUUCUGGUGCCAGCUGUGAGGACAAGUCAGCUGCCAGAGGGCUGGCCCAGGAGGCUGAGGAGGGCCUCUUCAGAUACAUGUUCCGGCCAUCCCAGCAUACACGCAGCCGCCAGGUGACUUCAGCCCAGCUGUGGUUCCACACCGGGCUGGACAGGCAGGGCACAGCAGCCUCCAAUAGCUCUGAGCCCCUGCUAGGCCUGCUGGCACUGUCACCGGGAGGACCUGUGGCUGUGCCCAUGUCUUUGGGCCAUGCUCCCCCUCGCUGGGCCGUGCUGCACCUGGCCACCUCUGCUCUCUCUCUGCUGACCCACCCCGUCCUGGUGCUGCUGCUGCACUGUCCCCUCUGUACCUGCUCAGCCCGGCCUG